Molecule: ribosomal RNA, 487 nt
Filed under: uncultured bacterium
Lineage: Bacteria
Description: bacterial SSU rRNA
Rfam family: Bacterial small subunit ribosomal RNA
Source: RNAcentral
AUUGAACGCUGGCGGCAUGCCUUACACAUGCAAGUCGAACGGCAGCGCGGGAGCAAUCCUGGCGGCGAGUGGCGAACGGGUGAGUAAUAUAUCGGAACGUGCCCAGUAGUGGGGGAUAGCCCGGCGAAAGCCGGAUUAAUACCGCAUGAGACCUGAGGGUGAAAGCGGGGGAGUCGCAAGACCUCGCGCUAUUGGAGCGGCCGAUAUCAGAUUAGCUAGUUGGUGGGGUAAAGGCCUACCAAGGCAACGAUCUGUAGUUGGUCUGAGAGGACGACCAGCCACACUGGGACUGAGACACGGUCCAGACUCCUACGGGAGGCAGCAGUGAGGAAUCUUGCGCAAUGGGCGAAAGCCUGACGCAGCGACGCCGCGUGGAGGAUGACGGUUUUCGGAUUGUAAACUCCUGUUAAGCGGGAAGAAAGCCUUGUUUCUAAUACAAGCAAGGUAUGACAGUACCGCUAGAGAAAGCACCGGCUAACUUCGUGCC